AGGGGUAUAGCUCAGUGGUAGAGUGCAUGCUUAGCGUAUGCGAGGUCCUGGGUUCAAUUCCCAGUACCUCCA
RNAcentral lists this transfer RNA (72 nucleotides) under Camelus bactrianus (Bactrian camel). It matches the Rfam family "tRNA". Rfam says of the family: Transfer RNA (tRNA) molecules are approximately 80 nucleotides in length. Their secondary structure includes four short double-helical elements and three loops (D, anti-codon, and T loops). The record is from Rfam by way of RNAcentral. RNAcentral also lists the same sequence under 1 other name. Lineage: Eukaryota; Metazoa; Chordata; Mammalia; Artiodactyla; Camelidae.